CAGCCGCCACGGUAAUACGAAGGGUGCAAGCGUUAAUCGGAAUUACUGGGCGUAAAGCGUGCGUAGGCGGUUCGUUAAGUCUGUUGUGAAAGCCCCGGGCUCAACCUGGGAAUUGCAGUGGAUACUGGGUCACUAGAGUGUGGUAGAGGAUAGUGGAAUUUCCGGUGUAGCAGUGAAAUGCGUAGAGAUCGGAAGGAACAUCUGUGGCGAAGGCGACUAUCUGGGCCAACACUGACACUGAGGCACGAAAGCGUGGGGAGCAAACAGGAUUAGAUACCCGGUAGUCCCUGUCUCUUAUACA
RNAcentral lists this ribosomal RNA (301 nucleotides) under uncultured bacterium. RNAcentral's name for it is "partial 16S ribosomal RNA". It matches the Rfam family "Bacterial small subunit ribosomal RNA", at positions 509 to 808 of the family's 1533-position model. The record is from RNAcentral.